ACGGGCGGAGUGUACAAGGCCCGGGAACGUAUUCACCGUGGCAUUCUGAUCCACGAUUACUAGCGAUUCCGACUUCAUGGAGUCGAGUUGCAGACUCCAAUCCGGACUACGACGCACUUUAUGAGGUCCGCUUGCUCUCGCGAGGUCGCUUCUCUUUGUAUGCGCCAUUGUAGCACGUGUGUAGCCCUGGUCGUAAGGGCCAUGAUGACUUGACGUCAUCCCCACCUUCCUCCAGUUUAUCACUGGCAGUCUCCUUUGAGUUCCCGGGCGGACCCGCUGGCAAAAAAAGGAUAAAGGGGUUGCGCUCGUUUGCGGGGACU
This 320-nucleotide ribosomal RNA is filed under the name uncultured bacterium. RNAcentral describes it as "partial 16S ribosomal RNA". The record is from RNAcentral.